Small nuclear RNA from Solea senegalensis (Senegalese sole), 109 nucleotides. RefSeq annotates it as U5 spliceosomal RNA. The transcript has a single exon. Lineage: Eukaryota; Metazoa; Chordata; Actinopteri; Pleuronectiformes; Soleidae. The record is from RefSeq and is a predicted model, not a curated record.
CGACUCUGGUUUCUUCAAAAUGCACAAGUCUUUCGCCUUUUACUAAAGACUCCGUGGGAGAGGGACGCUCAAGAGUUUAAGUUAUUUUGUGGCUAAGGCUGCGCCCUUG